CCAUCUCCUGCUGUGAGGUAAAAGUAGAUCAGCACCUGUGAAGAGGCUCUCCAUCACUGCAUGGCCAGAAAUGGCCUCUUUAAUCAGAACUUGGAGGGUAUUUCAGUUCUACAAGAGCCAAGAGUUUAAAGAUAUAAAAUAGUAGUGUGAAGGAAAGAAAAAGAAGUUUUUCUGUCAUUUUAACGGUUUUAAAUCUCACUUCAGUAGCAUUUUCAAGCUUAGAAGGUGAGAUGGAAGGAAUUCCAAAGUGUAGCGGCUUAUCUGAGCUUGGUCUCAAUGGGAAGGUUUAAUCCACUUUACAUAUCUGGUGACAGAAUUCAUGCGUAAUCUAGAAGAAAUGGGAAGAUGCUUUCUUCAAGCUAGUCCUCAUUCUGCCUUAUGGUAAGUCCUUUUUCAUUCAAAGUAGUUGUGUUUUCUUUCCAUGCCAUAACUUUGUUG
This 438-nucleotide long non-coding RNA is filed under the name Anser brachyrhynchus (Pink-footed goose). RNAcentral's name for it is "lncRNA (ENSABRG00000004105.1)". Lineage: Eukaryota; Metazoa; Chordata; Aves; Anseriformes; Anatidae. The record is from RNAcentral.